AUACACUUACACGCCCCUAUACUAUCUGAAGUUACCUUUCAGUGACUUAUAUAAAAAUAAAGAGAUUUGCGACGUAUACUUAAACCAAUUAACCAAACCAACCGUUACAAAACCUUAAGGAUAAUUAAUUAAUCAAUACAUCACAAGAGUGUAUUAGCCAAAUAAUUAAUUAAUUGCUAACUUUUAGUAAGAGAAAACAAUGUCUUGAGUUAAGCUUCUUAAGAGAAGAAGCUCAUUAUCAGACAAAUCAAUCCCAUGGUGUCACAUUGUUAUCUUCUCCAGAGCAAGUAACUUGAGUGAGAACUGAGGUCCACACUCCUGCCACAGACACACACAGAAAAAAAAAAACACAGUUAGCAGCAAUCAAAAAGAUAUCAUAAGGUCAGCAAAGAGCUGUAAAACCCUUAUCCUUGCAAACUCUAUCAUCUGCGCAGAUGCUUAAACAAAC
RNAcentral lists this long non-coding RNA (448 nucleotides) under Capsella grandiflora. RNAcentral describes it as "long non-coding RNA (CGRA_LNC001799)". The record is from RNAcentral. Lineage: Eukaryota; Viridiplantae; Streptophyta; Magnoliopsida; Brassicales; Brassicaceae.